Long non-coding RNA from Pipra filicauda (Wire-tailed manakin), 379 nucleotides. RefSeq lists it as uncharacterized. Lineage: Eukaryota; Metazoa; Chordata; Aves; Passeriformes; Pipridae. The transcript is spliced from 4 exons. The record is from RefSeq and is a predicted model, not a curated record.
AGAUUGAAAGUGGUUUACUGUGGUACCUUUUCCACUGCAAGACAGCAAGAAGCCAUCACUACAAAACCAUAAUUUUUUUGUAAUUUCCAGACAAAUGCCCUGCCCCAAGAAAGUGUAGAUCAUCUCCCUGGAUAAAUCUGGAAAGCACUGCUCCUCCAAGGAUCUUCAAGGAUGUUCUUCACCCAAGAACCUCAAAGCACAAAUAAUUUUAGUAAGGCUGACCUCAUACAGGAACUGAUGCUGUGGAAUUUUUAAGCAAGAUGCCUAAAACCACUUAGUAAGAAGAGCUAAUCUUCUGAUGGAUGGCUGGCACUAAUGAAUUAUUAAAUAAAUGGACAUGUCUGGGGAAGGGACUGAAAAAAGGACUCUCAACUGUCAC